CCUGAGUUUCCUAAAACUACGGACAUAACUGAACGCUCUGCAUAUAUUUUGUAUAUACUUAUUUACAUGUUGCCUAUGGUCCACUAGAAUGGAAGCAACCUGACGGCAGAGAACGUGUUUUUGCCUUUCCUUGUAUGCCCAGUGAUCGCCGCGGUGUCCGCACACAGUAGGCGCUUAUUAAGUGCUUGCUUACUGGUUGCUCCGAGAGGGCUUCGGGGGCUCACCCCUGGCCAUACCCACUACUCGGCUAGCGAGGACGCCCGGCCACAUGUCCGGCAGGGCCCACAGUUUGGCUUUCCAGCAGCGCAGCGCUAAACACAAGGCCCCACCCGACCCCGGUGGGAGGGGGGACCCGAGCAGGGCCCCGUGGGCAGCGGCCAACAGCCGGUGGCCAGAACAGGUAGUGGGGGCCGCAGAUUAAAGCACGGGAAGGCGGCCAGAACGCACCGCAGUCGCAGCUCGCCCCGGGCGCCCUCGCGUCCCCGCGGGCGCCGCUGUCCGUCUCCCGAGGGAAGGGUCCGCGGACAGACGGGCCCGCGAAAGGGGGCGCCUCCUCCCCUCCCCCGCACACUCCGACACUGACCGUCGCCCGCCCACGAUCUCUAUGAAGCCCCCAAGCGCGCCCGCCGGGCCCUGACGUCAGGCUACCGCACAAGAAGCGGGCACGCAUCGCGCGCGGAGCAGAGCCCCGCCUCUCCCCAUCCCCGGUCCCACCUCCGCCCCUCCUUUUGUCUCCACGCCCCGCGGGGCCAGAGAGAGCUCGGAGCGCAUGCGCCCUGAGAGCAGAACCAGGUGAGGGGGAUGGGGCUGGGAAUGCUGCGUGGUGGCACGCUGGCCCACGUUCUUUCGCGCCGGGGCCCGAGUGCGGUCAGGGAGGAAGGAAGGUAGCGCACACCUUUGCUCCAAUGGCUGCAGCCCUUCCGCGCGCACUCCCCCAGAAAAAAUCCACAUCCCAAGACCCUAGAGAGAGCUACCAAGUAACAAAGAUUGGCCCAGGACCAUCCAUGUUUGAUCCAGGAUCAUCCAGGUUUGACCCAGGACCAUCCAAGUUUAACACAGGACCAUCCAGGUUUAACUUGGGGUCAUCCAAGUUUGACCCAGGACCAUCCAGGUUUGACCCAGGACCAUCCAGGUUUGACCCAGGACCAUCCAAAUUUGACCCAGGACCAUCCAGGUUUUACGCAGGACCAUCCAGGUUUGACUUGGGGUCAUCCAAGUUUGACCCAGGACCAUCCAGGUUUGACCCAGGACCAUCCAGUGUUGGCCCAGGACCAUCCAGGUUUGACCCGGGACCAUCCAGGUUUGACCCGGGACCAUCCAGGUUUGACCCGGGACCAUCCAGGUUUGACCCGGGACCAUCCAGGUUUGACUCGGGAUCAUCCAGGUUUGACACAGGGUCAUCCAGUCUUGGCCCAGGACCAUCCAGGUUUGACCCAGGACCAUCCAGGUUUGACCCAGGACCAUCCAGUCUUGGCCCAGGACCAUCCAGGUUUGGCCCAGGACCAUCCAGUCUUGGCCCAGGACCAUCCAGGUUUGGCCCAGGACCAUCCAGUCUUGGCCCAGGACCAUCCAGGUUUGGCCCAGGACCAUCCAGUCUUGGCCCAGGACCAUCCAGGUUUGGCCCAGGACCAUCCAGGUUUGACUCGGGGUCAUCCCAGUUUGACCUAGGACCAUCCAGUCUUGGCCCGGGACCAUCCAAGUUUGACCCAGGACCAUCCAAGUUUGACACAGGGUCAUGGAGUCUUGGCCCAAGAUCAUCCGAGUCUAUGGCCAGAACAAGUUCAAAGGACAUCACGAUAGAAGUUUGUCCAGGCACCUAUACUGUCACAGUAGGGUCCCCUAAUGUAACCACAACGCACAUGAUAGAGGUUGACUCAGGAGAAAUCAUCGAUCUGAGUUUCCCUCUUUAA
Molecule: long non-coding RNA, 1910 nt
Filed under: Phascolarctos cinereus (koala)
Lineage: Eukaryota; Metazoa; Chordata; Mammalia; Diprotodontia; Phascolarctidae
Description: lncRNA (ENSPCIG00000033194.1)
Source: RNAcentral